UGGGGAAUAUUGGACAAUGGGGGAAACCCUGAUCCAGCGACGCCGCGUGAGUGAAGAAGUAUUUCGGUAUGUAAAGCUCUAUCAGCAGGGAAGAAAAUGACGGUACCUGACUAAGAAGCCCCGGCUAACUACGUGCCAGCAGCCGCGGUAAUACGUAGGGGGCAAGCGUUAUCCGGAUUUACUGGGUGUAAAGGGAGCGCAGACGGCAAUGCAAGUCUGAAGUGAAAGGCGUGGGCUCAACCCAUGAACUGCUUUGGAAACUGUAUAGCUUGAGUGUCGGAGGGGUAGGCGGAAUUCCUAGUGUAGCGGUGAAAUGCGUAGAUAUUAGGAGGAACACCGGAGGCGAAGGCGGCUUACUGGACGACAACUGACGUUGAGGCUCGAAGGCGUGGGGAGCAAACAGGAUUAGAUACCCUGGUAGUCCACGCAGUAAACGAUGAAUACUUGGUGUCGGGGAGGUAAACUCUUCGGUGCCGCAAGCUAACGCAUUAAGUAUUCCACCUGGGGAGUACGUUCGCAAGAAUG
Molecule: ribosomal RNA, 525 nt
Filed under: uncultured bacterium
Lineage: Bacteria
Description: bacterial SSU rRNA
Rfam family: Bacterial small subunit ribosomal RNA
Source: RNAcentral